Molecule: ribosomal RNA, 492 nt
Filed under: uncultured bacterium
Lineage: Bacteria
Description: partial 16S ribosomal RNA
Rfam family: Bacterial small subunit ribosomal RNA
Source: RNAcentral
AGUGAACGCUGGCGGUAGGCCUAACACAUGCAAGUCGAACGGCAGCACAGUAAGAGCUUGCUCUUACGGGUGGCGAGUGGCGGACGGGUGAGGAAUACAUCGGAAUCUACUUUUUCGUGGGGGAUAACGUAGGGAAACUUACGCUAAUACCGCAUACGACCUACGGGUGAAAGCAGGGGAUCUUCGGACCUUGCGCGAUUGAAUGAGCCGAUGUCGGAUUAGCUAGUUGGCGGGGUAAAGGCCCACCAAGGCGACGAUCCGCAGCUGGUCUGAGAGGAUGAUCAGCCACACUGGAACUGAGACACGGUCCAGACUCCUACGGGAGGCAGCAGUGGGGAAUAUUGGACAAUGGGCGCAAGCCUGAUCCAGCCAUACCGCGUGGGUGAAGAAGGCCUUCGGGUUGUAAAGCCCUUUUGUUGGGAAAGAAAAGCAGCAGGUUAAUACCCUGCUGUUCUGACGGUACCCAAAGAAUAAGCACCGGCUAACUUCGUG